CGCGUGGGGAAUCUGCCUUUGAGCGGGGGACAACAUUUGGAAACGAAUGCUAAUACCGCAUAAAAGCUUUAAACAUAAGUUAAAAGUUUGAAAGAUGCAAAAGCAUCACUCAAAGAUGAUCCUGCGUUGUAUUAGCUAGUUGGUAGGGUAAAGGCCUACCAAGGCGAUGAUACAUAGCCGACCUGAGAGGGUGAUCGGCCACAUUGGGACUGAGACACGGCCCAAACUCCUACGGGAGGCAGCAGUAGGGAAUCUUCGGCAAUGGGGGCAACCCUGACCGAGCAACGCCGCGUGAGUGAAGAAGGUUUUCGGAUCGUAAAACUCUGUUGUUAGAGAAGAACGUGUGUGGGAGUGGAAAAUCCAUGCAGUGACGGUAUCUAACCAGAAAGGGACGGCUAACUACGUG
RNAcentral lists this ribosomal RNA (406 nucleotides) under uncultured Bacilli bacterium. RNAcentral describes it as "bacterial SSU rRNA". It matches the Rfam family "Bacterial small subunit ribosomal RNA", at positions 114 to 507 of the family's 1533-position model. The record is from RNAcentral. Lineage: Bacteria; Bacillati; Bacillota; Bacilli.